GACGAACGCUGGCGGCGUGCUUAACACAUGCAAGUCGAACGGAAAGGCCCUGCUUUUGUGGGGUGCUCGAUUGGCGAACGGGUGAGUAACACGUGAGUAACCUGCCCUUGACUUUGGGAUAACUUCAGGAAACUGGGGCUAAUACCGGAUAGGAGCUCCUGCUGCAUGGUGGGGGUUGGAAGGUUUCGGCGGUUGGGGAUGGACUCGCGGCUUAUCAGCUUGUUGGUGGGGUAGUGGCUUACCAAGGCUUUGACGGGUAGCCGGCCUGAGAGGGUGACCGGCCACAUUGGGACUGAGAUACGGACCAGACUGCUACGGGAGGCAGCAGUGGGGAAUAUUGCACAAUGGGCGGAAGCCUGAGGCAGCAACGCCGCGUGCGGGAUGACGGCCUUCGGGUUGUAAACCGCUUUCGCCUGUGACGAAGCGUGAGUGACGGUAAUGGGUAAAGAAGCACCGGCUAACUACGUG
Molecule: ribosomal RNA, 468 nt
Filed under: uncultured bacterium
Lineage: Bacteria
Description: partial 16S ribosomal RNA
Rfam family: Bacterial small subunit ribosomal RNA
Source: RNAcentral